ACCUAGCCCCGAUAGAAGUAGAAAUCCUUUUUUGUUUUUUCUUUAAAAACAAAAAAGAUUGUAAGGAAUAGCGGGAUUAGCU
RNAcentral lists this non-coding RNA (82 nucleotides) under Flavobacterium johnsoniae. RNAcentral describes it as "Flavo-1 RNA". It matches the Rfam family "Flavo-1 RNA". RNAcentral also lists the same sequence under 1 other name. Lineage: Bacteria; Pseudomonadati; Bacteroidota; Flavobacteriia; Flavobacteriales; Flavobacteriaceae. The record is from RNAcentral.